RNAcentral lists this ribosomal RNA (478 nucleotides) under uncultured bacterium. RNAcentral describes it as "partial 16S ribosomal RNA". It matches the Rfam family "Bacterial small subunit ribosomal RNA", at positions 28 to 523 of the family's 1533-position model. The record is from RNAcentral.
GACGAACGCUGGCGGCGUGCUUAACACAUGCAAGUCGAACGGAAAGGCCCUUCGGGGUACUCGAGUGGCGAACGGGUGAGUAACACGUGGGUGAUCUGCCCUGCACUUUGGGAUAAGCCUGGGAAACUGGGUCUAAUACCGAAUAUGAUCAUCAGCUUCAUGGUUGGUGGUGGAAAGCUUUUGCGGUGUGGGAUGGGCCCGCGGCCUAUCAGCUUGUUGGUGGGGUAAUGGCCUACCAAGGCGACGACGGGUAGCCGGCCUGGGAGGGUGACCGGCCACACUGGGACUGAGAUACGGCCCAGACUCCUACGGGAGGCAGCAGUGGGGAAUAUUGCACAAUGGGCGCAAGCCUGAUGCAGCGACGCCGCGUGAGGGAUGACGGCCUUCGGGUUGUAAACCUCUUUCAGCACAGACGAAGCGCAAGUGACGGUAUGUGCAGAAGAAGGACCGGCCAACUACGUGCCAGCAGCCGCGGUAA